CACCGCCGCCUGGGUCAGCGGGCCGCCCGGGCAGCCGCCGGGUUUGUGACGCAGGCAGCUGUGGGCUUUUGACUUGUUACUUGCGCUGCCCCACGCUCGGGUACUGGCAGAGAAAGUUGAAUCGAAGGAAAUAAGAGAUGCAGCUCGUUAUACAGCUAGAUUUCCAUCUUUGGAUCAGCUCGGGGCCUAAGUACCUUCUCUUUCAGGGUGUCUUGUUUUCUUAAACACAGAAGCCCAUGAACUUCAAAGACAGGUUCUGGGCUCAAGCACUUUCUGGCUAUUCUUAGCUCUCUUUCCCUGCAGCCAAGCCUCCUCCUUGGGAAGUGAUAAAGUGAGUCGGGAGUGGUGGGGAGGAGAGAGUGGGCGUGUCAGAUCCGGGCGCGAUGAAUCACCCAGCCCAGCCCAGAGCUGGAGAGAUUAUCCGCGGCAUGCUUCACAUUUUCUCCAAGUUGACCAUUAAGCACAGCCCGUAUACAACUGGAUUUUUUUACAGCAUGUAGAUCAAUUUGUGACACAUCUGUAGGGCUUUUCCUUUAAUCCUAUGAAACAAAAGAGCCAUGUUUUGAUCUGUGAAAGUAGAGACGGGCCAGUUCUGUAGCUAUCUGCCGAUGCAUUUGAAAAAGCAGUUUCGGUCUUGGGGUGUAUGUGUGGGUGUGCGCGUGCGCACCGCCUGUGGGUAACCUCCAAAGGUGACAUCAGCGCACAGUGUCAGGCAGUUUGCCAGGCUGUGCCUCCUGGGGACUGGUGCUGUGGGAGGGGUCCGUGUGGUGGGUUUGGAGGUCCUCUUUUCUGCCCCCUGACCACCUCUGGGCUCCUAUUCAACCCAAACAAAUCAUCAGAGGAAGAACCCGGAGAGAACACUCCGGGUCUGCCUCCUAUGAGGUAAAACCCCUCAGAAGCUGGAAGAGCAGAGGACAUGAAGACAGUUAGAAUCCUUAGGUGGCCAUGGGCCCUGGAGACCAUCGUGGAGACAGCUCGUUAUUUCUACACUAGAGAAUCAUUACCUUGUGACUCGCAUCUCUGCUGUCUGGGGAUUUCCGUGUCCAAGGAGGAGCAGACAGAGGCCAGGACUGGGAAGUGUUGGGUGCAGGAGAAUGAAUCACCGGUGAUGGAGAGACUCACAGUUCUUCACAGGUGGCCGCCUUCCGGGGUGAGGCCAGGUUCAAAUCCACAGGACUAGAUCCUGCCUGUAACCACCGACGGUUUCUGGCCCACAAUAAUGCUAGAUUUUUGUGGGAAAACAAACUUCAUAGAAAUUCUGGGAACUACCGUGCCUUGUACCUGUACGUGGUGGCUGAUGGGGGAAAGCAUCGACCAAGAAACAAAUAAAGAGUAGCUGUUACUAUUGUUGCUCCCAUUUUACAGAUGAAAAGAACGAGACCAAAAGAGGUAAUGAAACUUGAUCACGGCCCAAUUCUAUGGUAAAAUUAAUCAAAAUACUUUCCCUAAACCAUGUUGUGUAUAAAUUUUCCUGGAGAAAACUCAUGGAACAUGUAUGCCUUUUAUUUUUAAAUAAACUACAGUUCCAGCUUCUCAUGCAAACUUGUGAAAAAGGACUAUCCAAGUCCCUGGUUUACAAAAAGAGGCCUCUGAUUCUGUAGGUAC
Molecule: long non-coding RNA, 1605 nt
Organism: Fukomys damarensis (Damara mole-rat)
Lineage: Eukaryota; Metazoa; Chordata; Mammalia; Rodentia; Bathyergidae
Exons: 3
Source: RefSeq, a predicted model, not a curated record